GGCUCUUUGGUGAUGUGGUCAGCGAGUCUGACUCUUACCCAGGAGUCUGGGGUUCAAUUCUCCCACCGGGCCC
Molecule: non-coding RNA, 73 nt
Organism: Gymnothorax javanicus (giant moray)
Lineage: Eukaryota; Metazoa; Chordata; Actinopteri; Anguilliformes; Muraenidae
Source: the annotation of a GenBank genome assembly